This 378-nucleotide ribosomal RNA is filed under the name uncultured cyanobacterium. RNAcentral describes it as "bacterial SSU rRNA". It matches the Rfam family "Bacterial small subunit ribosomal RNA", at positions 84 to 496 of the family's 1533-position model. The record is from RNAcentral. Lineage: Bacteria; Bacillati; Cyanobacteriota.
CCUUCGGGUUAGUGGCGGACGGGUGAGUAACGCGUGGGAAUCUGCCCUCAGGAGGGGGAUAACGGUUGGAAACGGCCGCUAAUACCCCAUAUGCCGAGAGGUGAAAUGAAUUUCGCCUGAGGAUGAGCCCGCGUCUGAUUAGCUAGUUGGUGAGGUAAGAGCUCACCAAGGCAUCGAUCAGUAGCUGGUCUGAGAGGAUGAUCAGCCACACUGGGACUGAGACACGGCCCAGACUCCUACGGGAGGCAGCAGUGGGGAAUUUUCCGCAAUGGGCGAAAGCCUGACGGAGCAACGCCGCGUGAGGGAUGAAGGCCUCUGGGCUGUAAACCUCUUUUAUCAAGGAAGAAGAUCUGACGGUAUCUGAGGAAUAAGCAUCGG